UUGAACGUCGGAUUUGAGUUUGUGAAACCAACGGUUGAGAUGUAAGCGCGGAUUGAAGGAAGAAAACCGGUGAAACCGAUUAUGGUAAGGUCGAGCACGUACACGGUUGCUUAAAAGGUUGUUUUACCCUAUCCGUCUGGCUCUCUCUCUCUCCCUAAACUGCUGCAAGCGGCCCUCUCUCCCUCAAUCCGUCACCAAAUGCCCCGUGUAGCCUCUCUCUCUCUUCCCUCUUUCUCCGAUGGCGGAUUCGAUGAGCAGCGACGAUGAGCAGGAUUACUAAUCCGAUCGAGACUCCCUCCAAGGAAUCGAAAACGACGAUGAAGACGAUUGCGAUUGGCCUUCUCCAAACGUGCCCUCUUGUCAGGUUUUCUGGAGCAGAUAGGGAGUGGACUCUCUCAAAGUAAUUCAAACAAGGAAACCCCAAACUUACAAAAUGCUUUGCCUCUCUCAACAAGCCAAAGAUCCUAGUUCUGUUGCUUGGUCAUGCAUCAUGACAUGCUCUGUGGUUUGCACCAUGCAUCAUGCAUGCUUAAACAAGGAGUGGAGCAUAGAGGAUUUAUUUAUUUAUUUUUCAUGUAUUCAGACCAUUGUAAACUUAUUGUUGUAAAUAUAUAUAAUUUUUAUUAUAAAGUUGUACAAUAAAUAUAUAUAAAUCCGUAAGGUAGGGCAUGCUUAAUGUGCA
Magnolia sinica is the source of this 682-nucleotide long non-coding RNA. RefSeq lists it as uncharacterized. The record is from RefSeq and is a predicted model, not a curated record. The transcript is spliced from 2 exons. NCBI's taxonomy places the organism in Eukaryota, Viridiplantae, Streptophyta, Magnoliopsida, Magnoliales, Magnoliaceae.